CAUUGAGCCUUGAUGUGUAGGAUAGGUGGGAGGCUUUGAAGCGUGGACGCCAGUCUGCGUGGAGCCAACCUUGAAAUACCACCCUUUAAUGUUUGAUGUUCUAACGUUGGCCCCUGACCGGGGUUGCGGACAGUGUCUGGUGGGUAGUUUGACUGGGGCGGUCUCCUCCCAAAGCGUAACGGAGGAGCACGAAGGUUAGCUAAUCCUGGUCGGACAUCAGGAGGUUAGUGCAAUGGCAUAAGCUAGCUUGACUGCGAGCGUGACGGCGCGAGCAGGUGCGAAAGCAGGUCAUAGUGAUCCGGUGGUUCUGAAUGGAAGGGCCAUCGCUCAACGGAUAAAAGGUACUCCGGGGAUAACAGGCUGAUACCGCCCAAGAGUUCAUAUCGACGGCGGUGUUUGGCACCUCGAUGUCGGCUCAUCACAUCCUGGGGCUGAAGUAGGUCCCAAGGGUAUGGCUGUUCGCCAUUUAAAGUGGUACGCGAGCUGGGUUUAGAACGUCGUGAGACAGUUCGGUCCCUAUCUGCCGUGGGCGCUGGAGAAUUGAGGGGGGCUGCUCCUAGUACGAGAGGACCGGAGUGGACGCAUCACUGGUGUUCGGGUUGUCAUGCCAAUGGCACUGCCCGGUAGCUAAAUGCGGAAGAGAUAAGUGCUGAAAGCAUCUAAGCACGAAACUUGCCCCGAGAUGAGUUCUCCCUGAGACUUUAAGUCUCCUGAAGGAACGUUGAAGACGACGACGUUGAUAGGCCGGGUGUGUAAGCGCAGCGAUGCGUUGAGCUAACCGGUACUAAUGAACCGUGAGGCUUAACCUUACAACGCCGAAG
Molecule: ribosomal RNA, 821 nt
Filed under: Klebsiella pneumoniae
Lineage: Bacteria; Pseudomonadati; Pseudomonadota; Gammaproteobacteria; Enterobacterales; Enterobacteriaceae
Description: partial 23S ribosomal RNA
Rfam family: Bacterial large subunit ribosomal RNA
Source: RNAcentral